Molecule: ribosomal RNA, 215 nt
Filed under: Glomeromycotina sp.
Lineage: Eukaryota; Fungi; Glomeromycota
Description: partial small subunit ribosomal RNA
Rfam family: Eukaryotic small subunit ribosomal RNA (bases 54-215)
Source: RNAcentral
GGGUCAGUAGGUUGGUCGUGCCACCGGUACGUACUGGUCUCACUGAUUCCUCCUUCUGAAGAACCGUAAUGCCAUUAAUUUGGUGUUGCGGGGAAACAGGACUGUUACUUUGAAAAAAUUAGAGUGUUUAAAGCAAGCUAACGCUUGAAUACAUUAGCAUGGAAUAAUGAAAUAGGACGAUCGAUCCUAUUUUGUUGGUUUCUAGGAUUGACGUA